UGAGUGGCGGACGGGUGAGUAACGCGUGGGGCAACCUGGCCUGUACAGGGGGAUAACACUUAGAAAUAGGUGCUAAUACCGCAUAACGGGGGAAGCCGCAUGGCUUUUCCCUGAAAACUCCGGUGGUACAGGAUGGGCCCGCGUCUGAUUAGCCAGUUGGCAGGGUAACGGCCUACCAAAGCGACGAUCAGUAGCCGGCCUGAGAGGGCGGACGGCCACACUGGGACUGAGACACGGCCCAGACUCCUACGGGAGGCAGCAG
This 262-nucleotide ribosomal RNA is filed under the name uncultured bacterium. RNAcentral's name for it is "partial 16S ribosomal RNA". It matches the Rfam family "Bacterial small subunit ribosomal RNA", at positions 92 to 354 of the family's 1533-position model. The record is from RNAcentral.